AACGAACGCUGGCGGCGUGUUUAAGACAUGCAAGUCGCACGGGAUAAGACAUGUAGUAAUACUUGUUUUAUUUAGUGGCGCACGGGUGAGUAACACGUGAAUUACAUGCCCUAUAGUGGGGAAUAGCCCAGGGAAACUUGGACUAAUACCCCAUGGUAUCGAAAGAUUAAAGGUGGCCGCAAGGCUGUCGCUAUAGGAUUGGUUCGCGCCCUAUCAGCUUGUUGGUGAGGUAACGGCUCACCAAGGCAAUGACGGGUACCUGGUCUGAGAGGACGAUCAGGCACACUGGAACUGAGACACGGUCCAGACACCUACGGGUGGCAGCAGUCGAGAAUAAUUCACAAUGGGGGCAACCCUGAUGGUGCAACGCCGCGUGGAGGAUGACGGUCUUCGGAUUGUAAACUCCUGCCAUCUGGGAGAAAGACCUGACGGUAAAUAGCCGGCAGGGUUGAUAGUACCAGAAGAGGAAGGGACGGCUAACUUCGUGCCAGCCGCCGCGGUAA
This 503-nucleotide ribosomal RNA is filed under the name uncultured bacterium. Its description in RNAcentral is "partial 16S ribosomal RNA". It matches the Rfam family "Bacterial small subunit ribosomal RNA", at positions 29 to 523 of the family's 1533-position model. The record is from RNAcentral.